GGCGCCGGUAGGAAGAGUCAGAGGGGUGACCAGAGAGCCCAACGCCUGGUGCUCAAGACUUUCUCCGAGCUAUGAAACCCACGUAGUCGAACACCGUGAUGCUUCUCCUGCAGGGCGUGUGAUGAGGAGGCGAGCUUGGCUUUGGAGUGCUGGGAACCUGAGGAAUUGCCAAGGACCCAGAGCCCAGCCCUGACCACCAGAGUGCCCAAAACACAAUGAACAAAUUGAAUUUUCAUAACAACAGAGUCAUGCAAGACCGCCGCAGUGUGUGCAUUUUCCUUCCCAACGAUGAAUCUCUGAACAUCAUCAUAAAUGGAUUGUCUGAGGAUCCAAC
This 334-nucleotide long non-coding RNA is filed under the name Homo sapiens (human). RNAcentral describes it as "HSALNT0210932". Lineage: Eukaryota; Metazoa; Chordata; Mammalia; Primates; Hominidae. The record is from RNAcentral.